This 367-nucleotide ribosomal RNA is filed under the name uncultured organism. RNAcentral's name for it is "bacterial LSU rRNA". It matches the Rfam family "Bacterial large subunit ribosomal RNA", at positions 2099 to 2465 of the family's 2925-position model. The record is from RNAcentral.
CUUUACUGCAACUUGGCAGUGAAACUCGAAUCAUUCUGCGUAGGAUAGGUGGGAGGCUUUGAACCCGGGGCUCUGGCUUCGGGGGAGCCAACGUUGAAAUACCACCCUGGAUGAUUUGGGUUUCUAACCUGCGUCCGUGACCCGGACGAGGGACACUGCCUGGCGGGCAGUUUGACUGGGGCGGUCGCCUCCUAAAGUGUAACGGAGGCGUGCGAAGGUUCCCUCAGCCUGAUUGGAAACCAGGCGUAGAGUGCAAAUGCAUAAGGGAGCUUAACUGCGAGACCGACAGGUCGAGCAGGUGCGAAAGCAGGCGUUAGUGAUCCGGUGGUCCUGUAUGGGAGGGCCAUCGCUUAUCGGAUAAAAGGUA